CUCCGCUCCUCGACCUAUCAAAUAGCGGCUACCCUGGGACCUCCCAUCGGAUUGGUGGAGAGAAGCACCAAUCGCCGCUGGAUCGGGAGGAGGAGCAGUCCGGGGGCGUUCUGUGUGCGGGGCUGCUCCGCCCGGGGCGGGCCGGGCCGGCGGACAGGGGUGACCCGAUGAGUCCGAGGUUCACAGGGAAAGCUGAACUAAGUGUGCGAGCACAACAGCUCGCAGCAGUGCCAAACAGCAGCUGAAGAAGGGCUCGAUGGUCUGUGAGUGGAAAGAUUUAGGGUACAGCCAUCCCAGACAAACUGUUGCCAAGACCGUUGUGUAAGGAUUUGGGAUUUUGUCUGACAACACAAGCUACGUCAUUGUGGUUUUGUCUUAACAAAACCAAACCUACUCCUGCGCUUCUACCCGAGAGGUAUCCAGGAGCAGUGAUCUUUCCAUGGCAAGGAGGAAGGAACAGAGGUGGUGGCUACAGGGGGAAAUGUUAAAGGAGAAUGUUUUUUCUGUGAUUUUUAAGCUGGCCAAAAGGCUGAAUGGAUGGCUAAAGAGGCGACUGCAGGUUGUAAGCGGGAGAGAAAGGACGUGGGAGGUGUCGGUGCUUCCAGCGGGCUGACCCUGCUGCCCUCUUCCUGGCAGCAAAACACUGAGCUCCUCGACUUAACCUCUCCGGCUGCAGAUAACACAGGGUUUAAUGUUCUGCCUCAUCUGCUCUGCCUCUGCCCUGCAGAUUACAAAAAGCGGUUUCUCAUCAGCCUGCAAAUGCGAACUGUACUCAAACAGACCUCAGCCGAGCCCCCUCUGUGUUUCUCCACCGGAGCCAGCGGAGCAGCCGCAGGGCUCACCGAGAGCAGGGCAACCACUUGCUGCAAAAGGCCUUUGGAUGGUUCCCAGCGCCUCACUCUCUGCCUUCCAGCUUAAUCCGGGAUGGGAUUUUUGGAGCACGAAUUCAGAGAGCCUUAAGGUGGCAGCAGCAGACAGCCCUCACGGCUGGCACCCCGCAGCGCAGCUCGGCUGGGUGAUCGGCAGCACCAGAGGGACCACAGGCUGGAAGGCAGCAGUCACUGCAGAGCCGGCAGAGAAGGGAACGUGGUGAGGUCAGGGCUAUCAGAAGAAAAGGUAAGUAAGGUCCUUCACACCCAGCAGGACAGGGUGAAUUUUGCACAACAAAACAUUAGGUAAGCAGGGACCUGCGGUGUCUGCCCCAAGUUGAGAUGGAUCUCCAGUCUGAGGAGUGCCCAUGAGAUGGAAAGCUACUGCUGCCUGACAUGCUCCAGAGUG
This is a long non-coding RNA of Pogoniulus pusillus (Red-fronted tinkerbird), 1278 nucleotides long. RefSeq lists it as uncharacterized. The record is from RefSeq and is a predicted model, not a curated record. NCBI's taxonomy places the organism in Eukaryota, Metazoa, Chordata, Aves, Piciformes, Lybiidae. The transcript has 3 exons.